Molecule: long non-coding RNA, 1455 nt
Filed under: Homo sapiens (human)
Lineage: Eukaryota; Metazoa; Chordata; Mammalia; Primates; Hominidae
Description: non-protein coding lnc-SLC6A4-7:1
Source: RNAcentral
ACUUCUAUGGUACUGGGAAUCGGAUCCAGUGACCUCUGUUUUGUUUCGGAGCCCACCGGCUGCCUCAAAAUCUGUAGGAGAAAGGAAUGACAACGUUCUAGGCCAGUUGUUCGCAGUGUGUGGUUCUGGGACCAGCGGCAUCAGCAACACCGGAGAUACUGUUAAAAUGACAAAUUCUCGGGCCCUACCCCAAACCUGCAGAAUCAGAAACUUUGGAGUGAAGCGAGUUAUCUGAAUUUUAACCAGCGGGUAAUUCUGAUAAAGUUUGAAAACCACUGCCAUGGCUAUCGAUAUUCCCCCUACCCCCUUCCAAGUGUUCACUUUAACUGGUUCAGGAUAAUUAGGCGAAAAAUGAAAAUCUGUGUAUUAAUAAUACCUUACAUAGGACCAAAAUUAUUAUUAAAAAAAAAAUUUUUUUUUUGAGACGGAGUUUCGCUCUUGUUGCCCAGGCUAGAGUGCAAAGGCGCGAACUCGGUUACCUCAACCUCCGCCUCCCGGGUUCAAGCGAUUCUCCUGCCUCAGCCUCCCGAGUAGCUGGGAUUACAGGCAUGUGCCACCACGCCCGGCUAAGUUUGUAUUUUUAGUAGAGACGGGGUUUCUCCAUGUUGGUCAGGCUGGUCUCGAACUCCCGACCUCGGGUGAUCCGCCCGACUCGGCCUCCCAAAUUGCUGGGAUUACAGGCAUGAGCCACCGCGCCCGGCCCAAGGACCAAAAUUAUUAAUAAUACUGUUCACGGGCCAUUGGGUAUAGGAAUCAGGAUCAUAUAUGAUACUUUUUUUUUUUUUUUUUUUUUUUUGAGACGUAGUCUCGCUCUUGUCGCCCAGGCUGGAGUGCAGUGGCAUAAUCUUGGCUCACUGCAACCUCCGCCUCCCAGGUUCAGGCGAUUCUCCUGCCUCAGCCUCCUGAGUAGCUGAGAUUACAGGCGUCCGCCACCAUGCCUGGCUAAUUUUUGUAUUUUUUUAGUAGAGGCGGGGUUUCACCAUGUUGGCCAGGCUGGUCUCAAACUCCUGACCUCAUGUGACCCACCCGCCUCAGCCUCCCAAAGUGCUGGGAUUACAGGCGUGAGCCACCGUGCCUGGCCCAUAUAUGAUACCUUUUUGAAAACUCUGCCCACAUCUGUGCACUCAUUCACUCUUGGUUCAUUCCCAGCUAGUCUCAGAGCAGCCAAAGAGAUCAAUUACUGAGAUAAGGAUGUUGAAAUCUCCAACUAUAAUUGCGAAUUUGCUUCUCCUUUCAAUUCUAUCAGUUUGUGUCGUGUAUUUUGAAAUUAGGUAUGUAAACAUUUAGGAUUGUUACGUUCUCUUGCAUUAACCUCUACUAACCUCUAUAGCAUUAAGAAGUGGCCCUCUUUAUUCCUUUAUUCUUCUUUGUCUGCUUGGUCUGCUAUCAAUAUAACUAGCUUUCUUUUGAUUAAUGCUAGCAUAGUGUAUCUUUUUCAACCCAUUUUAAUCUAUU